GACCGGGACCUCAAUCGGGUGGCAGCGUCGGACCAUGGUCGUUUGCUACCUACUCUUCCGUCCCAAGAUUG
This 71-nucleotide small nucleolar RNA is filed under the name Euglena gracilis. RNAcentral's name for it is "Eg-p9". Lineage: Eukaryota; Euglenozoa; Euglenophyceae; Euglenales; Euglenaceae. The record is from RNAcentral.